RNAcentral lists this unclassified non-coding RNA (402 nucleotides) under soil metagenome. RNAcentral's name for it is "partial contains 5.8S ribosomal RNA, internal transcribed spacer 2, and large subunit ribosomal RNA". The stretch from base 1 to 122 matches the Rfam family "5.8S ribosomal RNA", at positions 35 to 154 of the family's 154-position model. The record is from RNAcentral.
GAUGAAGAACGCAGCGAAAUGCGAUACUUGGUGUGAAUUGCAGAAUCCCGUGAACCAUCGAGUUUUUGAACGCAAGUUGCGCCCGAAGCCUUUUGGCCGAGGGCACGUCUGCCUGGGCGUCACGCAUCGCGUCGCCCCCCACAAUUCUCCGUAAAAGGAACAUGUGUUUUGGGGGCGGAUAUUGGUCUCCCGUGCUCAUGGCGUGGUUGGCCGAAAUAGGAGUCCUUUCGAUGGACGCACGAACUAGUGGUGGUCGUAAAAACCCUCGUCUUUUGUUUCGUGCUGUUGCUCGCAAGGUAAACUCUUUAAAAACCCCAAUGUGUCGUCUUGACGACGCUUCGACCGCGACCCCAGGUCAGGCGGGACUACCCGCUGAGUUUAAGCAUAUCAAUAAGCGGAGGA